CCUACGGGGGGCAGCAGUGGGGAAUAUUGCACAAUGGGCGCAAGCCUGAUGCAGCCAUGCCGCGUGUGUGAAGAAGGCCUUCGGGUUGUAAAGCACUUUCAGCGGGGAGGAAGGCGUUAAGGUUAAUAACCUUGUCGAUUGACGUUACCCGCAGAAGAAGCACCGGCUAACUCCGUGCCAGCAGCCGCGGUAAUACGGAGGGUGCAAGCGUUAAUCGGAAUUACUGGGCGUAAAGCGCACGCAGGCGGUCUGUCAAGUCGGAUGUGAAAUCCCCGGGCUCAACCUGGGAACUGCAUUCGAAACUGGCAGGAUAGAGUCUUGUAGAGGGGGGUAGAAUUCCAGGUGUAGCGGUGAAAUGCGUAGAGAUCUGGAGGAAUACCGGUGGCGAAGGCGGCCCCCUGGACAAAGACUGACGCUCAGGUGCGAAAGCGUGGGGAGCAAACAGGAUUAGAUACCCUAGUAGUC
RNAcentral lists this ribosomal RNA (465 nucleotides) under uncultured Klebsiella sp. RNAcentral's name for it is "bacterial SSU rRNA". It matches the Rfam family "Bacterial small subunit ribosomal RNA", at positions 338 to 795 of the family's 1533-position model. Lineage: Bacteria; Pseudomonadati; Pseudomonadota; Gammaproteobacteria; Enterobacterales; Enterobacteriaceae. The record is from RNAcentral.